This 241-nucleotide ribosomal RNA is filed under the name uncultured bacterium. RNAcentral describes it as "partial 16S ribosomal RNA". It matches the Rfam family "Bacterial small subunit ribosomal RNA", at positions 336 to 569 of the family's 1533-position model. The record is from RNAcentral.
CUCCUACGGGAGGCAGCAGUAGGGAAUCUUCCACAAUGGGCGAAAGUCUGAUGGAGCAACGCCGCGUGAGUGAAGAAGGGUUUCGGCUCGUAAAGCUCUGUUGGUAGUGAAGAAAGAUAGAGGUAGGAACUGGCCUUUAUUUGACGGUAAUUACUUAGAAAGUCACGGCUAACUACGUGCCAGCAGCCGCGGUAAUACGUAGGGGGCAAGCGUUGUCCGGAUUUAUUGGGCGUAAAGCGAG